Molecule: long non-coding RNA, 695 nt
Organism: Gorilla gorilla gorilla (western lowland gorilla)
Lineage: Eukaryota; Metazoa; Chordata; Mammalia; Primates; Hominidae
Exons: 2
Source: RefSeq, a predicted model, not a curated record
UUCACCAGCCAGGAGGCAGAACUUGGCCUCCCUUAAUCCUGAAUAGGCAUGCAGGGUUAUAUGCUAGACACAAAGGAAGCCACAGCCAGCAGAAGGCGAGCCGACAAGAACAAGGAAAUGGUUCUGCCGUCACAUCCCCUGGAAUCUCUGUGCCUUGGUGUCUCCGUUGGUAAAGACAGGAUGUCCUAGAUCUCCAAGGUUUCUUGAAAAACUAAAACCCAUUAUUGUUUAAUGCCUUCUAGAAGUUGCCUAGGAAACACUUCUUCUUAGAAAAGAUUCACAAACAGACCUGGAAUGAAUCCUUCUCGCUCUUCAUACACUGAGACAGGAUGAAAUCUAAGACCAUGGCAGGGAGAAGCCGCACGCGGAGUCGCACUGUCAGGAUCCAGGAUCGAUCUUAAUCAGAUUGCAAGUUCUUCAGGCUUGGAACCAUAUCACCACAAUGAACAGCCAAGUGUAAAGGGUCCCCGGGGAAACUCCGACCGGCUUGCGCCCUGGGAGAAUGGGGUGGAGCCACGGAAGUUCACGCGCUUUGCAGAGGGGAGGAGCCUGGCCUCUCCUGAUCCUGGAUAGUACCUGAGAUUCAAUCGCUGAGGCGGGAAAACCGGCUAGCAGGACUGUUGCUUUGCUGAGAGUCCCUGUUUCCCUUUUUUUCCUCUUGGCCCAAUAAAUUCCAUUUUUCUCACCCUUCAAAA